AAAUAGAAAGGGAGGGGGAAAAUGAUGGAGAUAAUUGAGAAAAACAAAUAACGAAAGGAGCAGUCCAUAACGUACGACCAAACCAUGGUUGUAAUCCAACUGUCGUUUCUCUCUCUUCCUUUUUUUUUUGUUUCUCUCUCCUUUUUGACUUUAUGGGUCUAAAUCUCAAUCCUGUUGUAAAGGGAAGGGGAGCUUCCUUCGUUGAACAAACCAACACAAUUUGACAAAAUCCCCCAAACGGAACUCUCUUCUCCUUCGCUUCUCCAUUUUCCCCAUUAAUUCCCCUUUAUCCAAUUUCUCUCCCCCCAUUUCCAUUUAAUUCCAUUUUCUUACCCAUAAAAUCUCCUCUCCAACUUUCCAACCUAAUCCCCCUUCUCAAUCUCACUUUUUAUACUCACCCUCUUCCUUUCUUCUCUCUGUCUCUGUAAUGGCGCCUCCUCUGCCUCUGUUUUCCUUCCAUGGAAGCAUCGCAAAAUAGGAUCCCAGAAUUUCAGGGCAUUUUAAGAAGAAUCGCCUAAGGUUUAUUCGGGAUUCUCCGUUCUGAUUUCAGGUUCUUGCACAGCCGGAAAGGAGUUUUCUGUUUGUAGCAUAGAUCGAUAAUCGAUAGCUAGGAACAAGCAGAUCAUUGACUGUCAUGCUGUCAAGUUCUUGCUUGAGUUUGUUAGAGUUAUCAUCAGUGGAUAUGCUGGAUUUUCCCCAUACACCGAGAACUGUUCCGCGGGUGAUGACUGCUUCGGGAAUAUUUUCUGAUAAGGAAAAAGAUUUAGAAGUUUCCUCAUCGAGAUCCCGUGGGAGAAAAAUAAUAGUGGCAAAUUUCCUUCCUCUCCAUGCUAAAAAGGAUCCGGAUUCUGGGAAAUGGGUCUUCAGUUUUGAUGAGGAUUCGCUUCUUCUUCAACUUAAGGAUGGCUUCUCCUCUGAUGUAGAUGUUAUAUAUGUUGGAUCGUUAAAGGUUGAUGUCGAUGUCCGAGAACAAGAUGAGGUUUCUCAAAGACUGUUGGAGGAGUUCAACUGUGCACCGACUUUCAUUCCUCCGCAGCUUCAGAAACAGUUCUAUCAUGGAUUCUGCAAACAACAUUUGUGGCCGAUUUUUCACUACAUGAUGCCAAUUUCCCCUUACCACGGUACACGGUUUGAUCGGCGUCUUUGGCAGGCGUAUCUUUCUGCCAACAAAAGGUUUGCAGAUAAAGUUAUGGAGGUAAUCAAUCUGGAAGAAGAUUAUGUAUGGAUUCAUGACUACCACCUUAUGGUUCUCCCUACUUUUUUGAGAAAACGUUACAGUCGAAUUAAGCUUGGAUUCUUCCUUCAUAGCUUGUUUCCCUCAUCAGAAAUCUACCGAACUCUGCCCGUCAGAGACGAGAUUUUGAAGGCAUUACUAAAUGCAGACCUAAUUGGUUUCCAUACAUUCGAUUAUGCUCGCCAUUUUCUGUCUUGCUGUAGUAGACUGCUUGGUCUGGAGUAUGAAUCCAAACGAGGCUAUCUCACGCUCGAGUAUUUUGGCCGUACGAUAUACAUCAAGAUUUUGCCUGUUGGAGUUCAUAUGGGUCGACUUGAAUCUGCAUUAAAUCAACCCCAAACUUCAAUCAAGGCCAAGGAAAUCAAAGAAGAUCUCCAAGGAAAGAAGGUUAUUCUUGGUGUUGAUGACAUGGACAUAUUUAAAGGUAUUGGUCUUAAGUUAUUAGCUAUGGAACAGCUCCUGAACCAGCAUCCCGAGUUACGGGGCAAUCUUGUCCUGGUGCAAAUUCUAAAUCCAGCACGGAGCAAUGGGAACGACGUUCAGGAAGCGAAAAGGGAAACUUAUGAGAUAACCAAAAGAAUCAAUAAGGCCUUCGGUUUUCCGGGAUAUGAACCUGUAAUCUUGAUUGAUCAUCCUAUUCCUCCUGAUGAGAAGAUUGCGUAUUAUGUACUAGCAGAGUGCUGCAUUGUAAAUGCUCUCAGGGAUGGUAUGAACUUAGUUCCAUAUGAGUACAUUGUUUGCCGACAGGGAACUUCACAAAUGGAUGAAGUUUUGGAAGUCUCCCCAAGUUCUCCUCGUACCAGCACGCUUGUCGUGUCGGAAUUUAUAGGUUGUUCGCCAUCUCUAAGUGGUGCGAUCAGGGUGAACCCAUGGGAUUUUGAUGCUGUAGCUGAUGCACUUUAUGUGGCUGUCACUAUGCCUGCUUUAGAGAAGCAACUGAGGCACGAAAAGCACUACCGAUACGUUAGCUCUCAUGAUGUCGCUUACUGGGCUCGCAGUUUCUCGCAAGAUUUGGAGCGAGCAUGCCGAGAACACUACAGUAAACGCUGCUGGGGCAUUGGUUUUGGUUUAAGCUUCAGAAUUUUGUCACUUUCUCCAAGUUUCAGGAAGCUUUCCAUUGAACAUAUUGGCUCUGCAUAUCGAAGCGCUUCUAGGAGGGCGAUUUUUUUGGAUUACGAUGGGACCGUGGUUUCCCAAGCUUCGUUGGUCAAAUCCCCGUCUCCUGAAGUCAUUUCCAUCCUGAACAAUCUUUGCAUGGAUUCAAAGAAUACUGUGUUUAUAGUCAGUGGUAGGGGGAAGGAUUCUCUUGGUCCAUGGUUCGAUUCGUGUAAGAAUCUUGGUAUCGCUGCUGAACACGGAUACUACUUGAGGUGGAAUAGGGACUCUGAUUGGGAAGUUAGUCCAUUAGCUGAAAACUUUGGUUGGAAAAGAAUAGCAGAACCUGUGAUGAAACUAUAUACUGAGGCAACCGAUGGCUCAUACAUAGAGACCAAGGACAGUGCCUUGGUAUGGCACCAUCAAGAUGCCGAUCCUUAUUUCGGUUCGUGCCAGGCCAUGGAACUUCUGGAUCACCUUGAAAACGUUCUUGCCAAUGAACCUGUAGUUGCCAAAAGAGGCCAGCAGAUCGUUGAAGUAAAACCACAGGGUGUGACUAAAGGAUUAGUUGCUGAAAGAGUUCUUGACACAAUGAUCAGCUCUGAGAAAGCACCCGACUUUGUGAUGUGCAUUGGAGACGAUCGAUCCGACGAAGACAUGUUCGAGAGCAUAUUGAGUAGAAGCUAUAGCUCAUCUCUUGUUACUCCUCCCAAAAUAUUUGCCUGCACCGUGGGGCAAAAGCCUAGCAAAGCCAAAUACUAUUUAGACGAUACCGCUGAUGUUUUGACCUUGCUUCAAAGCCUGGCCACCCCUUCUAACCGUAAAUCGAGGUCGAGUUUUGAAACUCGUGUUUUGUUCGAGGAUGAUGUUUGAUGCUGAAGAUUCCAUCUCUUGUUGCACUUACAUUGAGCCAGAGUUCUUGAGAUGGGAAUGCUUGUUACUUUCGAUUCUCUUUUUCCAUCCUUCACAGAUCAGACCGGAGAUCGAUCCUCCACGGAGUCGGGAUCAUCUCUUUCAUUUGAGAUCACCCGAUUCUUUGCCACUGUCACGGUGCCAAUGGAUUCAGAUUCAGGAAGAUGACUGGAGUGAGUUGGUUUGGUGGUGUAAAUAACUGCGCAUUCACGACACGCGUUCUUCGCUUCUCCCCGAUCCGGGAAGUAGCAGAACAAGAUCAACUGGAACCUAGGAACGUCAUUGAAUCCCUCUUGAAUUCUCUCCAUUUCCCUCCGUCUUCCUCUCGAGAGUGGAGAACCCGUGCCUUCCAAUGCUCUGUGACAUCUCGAUCUUCUUUUCACUGCAAUUGCACGAUGAUCAUUGGCUUCUUCUUCUGUUCCUGCUUUUCGACGCAUGAGGAAUUCCAUCGCCAUUGAUAAUUCCCCCCUUAGAGACCCUCAGAAACCGAAUCAAGUGCGUUUUCUGGUUUUCAUUGCAGUUUUCUAGGGCAUUGCGAUUCGAAUCAUUCUCUUUCUCGUUACAGAGCGUCGUCUUCUUCUCGUUGUACGAUCAUACAUCCUUCGAUACACCUUAUACGGUUCUAGGUUUCCAUUUCUCCCUACGGAUCAGAGAUGUUUGCAGUGAUGACGAGCUAUGCAGAUUCCAUGAAAGCAUUACUUUCAAGAAUCAAAAUCAUUCACAAACACUCCAAUGCAAUGCGUAUGUUGAGCAAUUUCCUUCGUAGUUAAGUUCAUUAUUGAGUUUGUGAAAAUUAAUUUGAUGAAAAUGAAGAGAAAAUUAAAAUGUGUGUUAAGACUUAAGAAGAGAAUGGUAAUGAUUUGUUUGUUGACGCUGUUGCUUCAAUCCAACACAAGGCCUGCCUGUGGAGCCUCUAAUCAAACUCAUAAGUUGGUGUGAUUCUUUGCUUUCAUAUCACUUUCUCUGCUCACCUUUGUUUUCAACUCACUAAUGUUUUGCUUUCCCAUUUUUACUCAAGUUUCUAACCUGUUUAGUUAACUAUUUUUUUAGUAUAGUACUGUCAGGACAGAACUAUGUUCGUGUUGGUAGAAGUUGUUUUAGUCUACGAUGACCUGAUAUGUUUUAGGAAUAAUUAAAGUUAUUUUUCCCUUAAAAGUCACCCAUUUGUAAAACAUG
Molecule: non-coding RNA, 4417 nt
Organism: Momordica charantia (bitter melon)
Lineage: Eukaryota; Viridiplantae; Streptophyta; Magnoliopsida; Cucurbitales; Cucurbitaceae
Source: RefSeq, a predicted model, not a curated record